AAGGGGUGUAUUUAUUAGAUAAAAAACCAAUGCCCUUCGGGGCUCUUUGGUGAUUCAUGAUAACUUAACGGAUCGCAUGGCCUUGCGCCGGCGACGGUUCAUUCAAAUUUCUGCCCUAUCAACUUUCGAUGGUAAGGUAUUGGCUUACCAUGGUUUCAACGGGUAACGGGGAAUUAGGGUUCGAUUCCGGAGAGGGAGCCUGGGAAACGGCUACCACAUCCAAGGAAGGCAGCAGGCGCGCAAAUUACCCAAUCCCGACACGGGGAGGUAGUGACAAUAAAUACUGAUACAGGGCUCUUUUGGGUCUUGUAAUCGGAAUGAGUACAAUUUAAACCCCUUAACGAGGAACAAUUGGAGGGCAAGUCUGGUGCCAGCAGCCGCGGUAAUUCCAGCUCCAAUAGCGUAUAUUAAAGUUGUUGCAGUUAAAAAGCUCGUAGUUGAACCUUGGGCCUGGCUGGCCGGUCCGCCUCACCGCGUGUACUGGUCCGGCCGGGCCUUUCCUUCUGGAGAGCCGCAUGCCCUUCACUGGGUGUGUCGGGGAACAGGACUUUUACUUUGAAAAAAUUAGAGUGUUCAAAGCAGGCCUUUGCUCGAAUACGUUAGCAUGGAAUAAUAGAAUAGGACGUGCGGUCCUAUUUUGUUGGUUUCUA
This 650-nucleotide ribosomal RNA is filed under the name Zopfia rosatii. Its description in RNAcentral is "SSU rRNA". It matches the Rfam family "Eukaryotic small subunit ribosomal RNA", at positions 196 to 853 of the family's 1831-position model. Lineage: Eukaryota; Fungi; Ascomycota; Dothideomycetes; Zopfiaceae. The record is from RNAcentral.